GGCGAACGCUGGCGGCGUGCCUUAGACAUGCAAGUCGUGCGAGGAUGCCUCUUUCGGGAGGCGUUCUAAGCGGCGAACGGCGGAGUAACACGUGGGUAACCUGCCCCGAAGACUGGGAUAACCCGGGGAAACUCGGGCUAAUACCGGAUGCGGAUGGCAUGGCGUCGGUCGUGUCAUCUAAAGGCGCAAGCCGCUUCGGGAUGGGCCCGCGGCCUAUCAGGUAGUUGGUGAGGUAACGGCUCACCAAGCCUGCGACGGGUAGCCGGUCUGAGAGGAUGGCCGGCCCGAGGGGCACUGAGACACGGGCCCCACUCCUACGGGAGGCAGCAUG
Molecule: ribosomal RNA, 331 nt
Filed under: uncultured bacterium
Lineage: Bacteria
Description: bacterial SSU rRNA
Rfam family: Bacterial small subunit ribosomal RNA
Source: RNAcentral